This 1443-nucleotide ribosomal RNA is filed under the name metagenome. RNAcentral's name for it is "bacterial SSU rRNA". It matches the Rfam family "Bacterial small subunit ribosomal RNA". The record is from RNAcentral.
AGAGUUUGAUCCUGGCUCAGGAUGAACGCUGGCGGCGUGCUUAACACAUGCAAGUCGAACGAUCCUUCGGGAUAGUGGCGGACGGGUGAGUAACGCGUGGGAAUCUGCCCUCAGGAGGGGGAUAACGGCUGGAAACGGCCGCUAAUACCCCAUAUGCCGAGAGGUGAAAUGAAUUUCGCCUGAGGAUGAGCCCGCGUCUGAUUAGCUAGUUGGUGGGGUAAAGGCCUACCAAGGCGACGAUCAGUAGCUGGUCUGAGAGGAUGAUCAGCCACACUGGGACUGAGACACGGCCCAGACUCCUACGGGAGGCAGCAGUGGGGAAUUUUCCGCAAUGGGCGAAAGCCUGACGGAGCAACGCCGCGUGAGGGAUGAAGGCCUCUGGGCUGUAAACCUCUUUUCUCAAGGAAGAAGAACUGACGGUACUUGAGGAAUAAGCCACGGCUAAUUCCGUGCCAGCAGCCGCGGUAAUACGGGAGUGGCAAGCGUUAUCCGGAAUUAUUGGGCGUAAAGCGUCCGCAGGCGGCCUUGUAAGUCUGUUGUUAAAGCGUGGAGCUCAACUCCAUUUAAGCAAUGGAAACUACAAGGCUGGAGUGUGGUAGGGGCAGAGGGAAUUCCCGGUGUAGCGGUGAAAUGCGUAGAUAUCGGGAAGAACACCAGUGGCGAAGGCGCUCUGCUGGGCCAUAACUGACGCUCAUGGACGAAAGCCAGGGGAGCGAAAGGGAUUAGAUACCCCUGUAGUCCUGGCCGUAAACGAUGAACACUAGGUGUCGGGGGAAUCGACCCCCUCGGUGUCGUAGCCAACGCGUUAAGUGUUCCGCCUGGGGAGUACGCACGCAAGUGUGAAACUCAAAGGAAUUGACGGGGGCCCGCACAAGCGGUGGAGUAUGUGGUUUAAUUCGAUGCAACGCGAAGAACCUUACCAGGGUUUGACAUCCUGCGAAUCCCUUGGAAACGAGGUAGUGCCUUCGGGAGCGCAGUGACAGGUGGUGCAUGGCUGUCGUCAGCUCGUGUCGUGAGAUGUUGGGUUAAGUCCCGCAACGAGCGCAACCCACGUCUUUAGUUGCCAGCAUUCAGUUGGGCACUCUAGAGAGACCGCCGGUGAUAAACCGGAGGAAGGUGUGGAUGACGUCAAGUCAUCAUGCCCCUUACAUCCUGGGCUACACACGUACUACAAUGCUACGGACAAAGGGCAGCAAGCUCGCGAGAGUUAGCAAAUCCCAUAAACCGUGGCUCAGUUCAGAUCGUAGGCUGCAACUCGCCUACGUGAAGGAGGAAUCGCUAGUAAUCGCAGGUCAGCAUACUGCGGUGAAUACGUUCCCGGGCCUUGUACACACCGCCCGUCACACCAUGGAAGUUGGCCAUGCCCGAAGUCGUUACUCCAACCCUUGUGGAGGAGGACGCCGAAGGUGGGGCUGAUGACUGGGGUGAAGUCGUAACAAGGUA